UACGGGGGGGGCAAGCGUUGUUCGGAAUUACUGGGCGUAAAGGGCGCGUAGGCGGCCACCGCAAGUCAGUUGUGAAAUCUCUGGGCUUAACCCAGAAAGGUCAACUGAUACUGCGGGGCUAGAGUGCAGAAGGGGCAACUGGAAUUCUCGGUGUAGCGGUGAAAUGCGUAGAUAUCGAGAGGAACACCUGCGGCGAAGGCGGGUUGCUGGGCUGACACUGACGCUGAAGCGCGAAAGCUAGGGGAGCGAACGGG
This 254-nucleotide ribosomal RNA is filed under the name uncultured bacterium. Its description in RNAcentral is "partial 16S ribosomal RNA". It matches the Rfam family "Bacterial small subunit ribosomal RNA", at positions 524 to 776 of the family's 1533-position model. The record is from RNAcentral.